This is a long non-coding RNA of Callithrix jacchus (white-tufted-ear marmoset), 1366 nucleotides long. RefSeq lists it as uncharacterized. The record is from RefSeq and is a predicted model, not a curated record. Lineage: Eukaryota; Metazoa; Chordata; Mammalia; Primates; Cebidae.
AAUCUCUGUUCUUCGGGCAGGCAUCCGUGAAUGCGGCUUGGACUCCGGCACAGGUCCUCGCAUUGAAGUUUCCGGGUAUGUUUUCCUUUUCCUCAGCUUCAUGGGAAGGGGUCUCCAGUUCUCCCCGGAGUGCCUACAUGGACCUCACUAGUCUUGGCAUCACCCCGUACGGCCUCGGAGACACAAGCUCACUCCAUCUUCUCUCGGGGGCUCGGCAGUGCCCCUGUGAUCUUAAUGGCUCCAGCUCAGACUCGCCUAUUUCUCUUUCUCAUCACUGAAGGCAGUGUUUGGAUGCUGGAGUCCCUGGGCUUCGGAGUCCCAGGCAAGCCACUGCUUCGCCCACAGAGGAGGGAGGCCGUGGACUCAUGGCUCAGUGAAUUUUCACCAGACAACGCGCCUUGAGACCAGUGAAAUCUUUCUGUGCCCCACUGAGGCCCUUCCCGCCUCUCUACAUUGUAAUCUCAUUUUUGCUUACCUGGUGGGAUCCGAAGAGGACUCCGGACAACACAUCCGGCGCCCUGAAGCUCCUCCUCCGCCAGGAGCGGGAGCCGCAGCAGAAGACCAUUCAAUGAGGUCCUGAGAACAGGAGUCUUAUGGGUUUGACCUGGGUCUUGCCCACGUCCCUUCCCCAGGCCUCCCCAAGCCAGCCACUUUCACUGAGGCGGCAGUCCCCGCCGCCAUUUUUUAAAGGAGUCGCAGCCUUUCCGGAGCCAGGCGCCAGUCGACUAGCCAAUGCGCAUGCGUGAGGCGUUAUUCCUGAGGUCAUAGAGACGGCCACAGUUGCCCGGGGAUAGGUUCCUGAGACUGGGCAAAGGAGGAGCCCUGUGUAUCGGUGCGUCAGGUGGGGGCUCAGACCACUCCUCGCCAGGACGUCACAGUAUAGUCUCUGAAGGCCAGAAUUCGCGGAGGGUCGACCAGGAGUUUGAAAGCUGAGGCCGAUCUCCGGGGAAGCAGCGCAGAAUCCCAGCCUCAGGCCUGCACUGUCGGAAUACAGGAGAUUCAGAAGACGACAAACUUAUAUAAUACACCUGCUCAUAGAGAUGUACUGAUAUCCAUCUAUUCCACGUAAUGAAAAAGACAACAGAUUGAAGCCAUACUUACCUCAGCAUGAGUGAUGUGGGAUAAUCCAGGCUGCCUGUGCCUUGUGAACACACACCCAAGUGAUGACUAACAGUCUCAAUAGCCUAUAAGCACGGCCAAGUUACACAGUGAGACUUCACGUCAGAGAAACACUGGAAGGAAAAGAAUCUGUAAAGUAACCAACCUAGCCAUUUGUUCAUAAAUUUUAAUGAGCCUAUAAGGAUCACUAAAUGUUUGAGAAAACCAACAACAAAAAAUAAAGCCUGAACAACUAGAAAAAAAAAAA